This is a long non-coding RNA of Perognathus longimembris pacificus (Pacific pocket mouse), 548 nucleotides long. RefSeq lists it as uncharacterized. The record is from RefSeq and is a predicted model, not a curated record. Lineage: Eukaryota; Metazoa; Chordata; Mammalia; Rodentia; Heteromyidae. The transcript is spliced from 3 exons.
GCAUCCUGAAGACAGAGAGGACUAACCAGCGCUUCCCCUUCCCCAUGAGUUCCGCUGACAGUCGAGAAAAAUAUACAAAACAACAGAUUGCAGUUCACCCAGAAGGGCAAGCCCCCAUUUUGCCAAGCUGUAGGGUACACAAAACCCAUCCACACACAUCUGAGUUCCUUCAAAGCACUGACCACCAAAGUCAAGAGUUGGGUGUGAAGUGUUGUUUUGCUACUUUACGAAAGCUCAAGGCACAGUUUGCCACAAUCACUACUAUAAAAGUUAAGUUCAAAAGGAGCUCAAGCCUUAGCAUUUUACAUAGUGCACAGUUAAAAAAACCCAGCCAAAUGACAAAUCUUGGUUAAAAUUUCCAGAAAUCUAUGCCAAUUCUUUAGCUUUUAAAAAGGAUUUCCGUUGUGAUAUGCACAGCUUCCAAUGUUUAAUAGCGUGGAUGUGGAAAUGGAAUACAAUCACGUGUUCAAGUGAAUCAAACCCACAAAAUUAGGGGAAAAACAAUUAAGACAAAAUUUACUUCAGUGACCACAAUUUUGCUGAAUCAC